RNAcentral lists this ribosomal RNA (437 nucleotides) under uncultured bacterium. Its description in RNAcentral is "bacterial SSU rRNA". It matches the Rfam family "Bacterial small subunit ribosomal RNA", at positions 8 to 417 of the family's 1533-position model. The record is from RNAcentral.
AGAGUUUGAUCCUGGCUCAGAUUGAACGCUGGCGGCAUGCCUUACACAUGCAAGUCGAACGGCAGCACGGGAGUAAUCCUGGUGGCGAGUGGCGAACGGGUGAGUAAUACAUCGGAACGUGUCCUGUAGUGGGGGAUAGCCCGGCGAAAGCCGGAUUAAUACCGCAUACGAUCUACGGAAGAAAGCGGGGGAUCGCAAGACUUCGCCGCUAUAGGGGCGGCCGAUGGCAGAUUAGCUAGUUGGUGGGGUAUAAGGCCUACCCAGGGCCAACGAUUCUGUUAAGCCUGGUUCUGAAGAAGGGACGAAACCAGGCCAACAACCUGGGGGAACUGGAGAACACCGGGCCCCAGAAACUUCCUANGGGAGGGCAGCAGUGGGGAAUUUUGGACAAUGGGGGAAACCCUGAUCCAGCAAUGCCGCGUGUGUGAAGAAGGCCU